Molecule: long non-coding RNA, 1621 nt
Filed under: Felis catus (domestic cat)
Lineage: Eukaryota; Metazoa; Chordata; Mammalia; Carnivora; Felidae
Description: lncRNA (ENSFCAG00000050771.1)
Source: RNAcentral
CAAUCAAGGGGCAAGACCUUGAGGGUGGCCAAUGGCAGAGAGUGGUCGAACACCAAUCAGGGCCCAGAAGGGUCCCACAAAGAGCCUGCUGUUGAGGACAGGACUGCUCCUGUGACUCAGAAGCCACACUGCGGGGCAAUGACUCAGCACCCCAGUGCAGAGCUGGGCUGGCCCAGAGCCCCAGAGCUGCUUCCAAAACAGGGGUACCAUGCCAGCCCAGCUGGGUGUGAGUCAGCCCAGAGGAAUGCCCCCUCCCGCCCGCCUGUACCCACUGCCUUCGACUCACGAGGCUGGCAUCCCGGGGCAGCAUGUGAUCGACCUGUCCAAACGCCAGAGUAAACAGGCGGAACAGGAGCCCAGCUUCCCGGCCACAGGCCAGCCAGGAGUGUGACGACAGAUACCUCUUGGGGAAGAAGACACCCGUGCCCUGGGACGGGGCCCUGGGAAUUUCCGCAGGAUCCUACCUUGAUCUGACUGAAAAUCAGUCUCUCCACCUCUGGGAACACCUUGUUCAGAAAGGCAGCCGCCUCUGCCUCAUCCUCAGAGACUCAAAGGAUUCAAGCCUAGGAGGAGCCCAGGAGAUUUUCCACCCAUGGCUUUACCUCCGCUCCGUCCACAAACCGCCCAGACCCCCGCUACAGAGACCCCGAGAAGGUCUAAGGAAGGGAACAGAAAACAGCCUGGCUGCCUCACUGGCCCGGCUCUGCCAGACUGAACCCCUCCAGGGUCCCCGGGUCUCAGCCGUUUAUCUGCCGCCUGCUCUCCGACGGCCCCCCUUCCCUCGUCCCUGACAACCUCAUAAAUGAUCACAUAUGCUUUCUGCUGAGCCAGGACAUGCUCUCAGCAGCCACCCAACCAAUCAGGGUUGGCCCAGGGAGUGAGACCGUUUGCCAUCCCUUUCCCGGCAACUCAGACUCUCCAUGGGGGGGAGAGGGGGGGCAGAGGGGGGAGCUGGCAUCUGACCUCCAGCUGUGUCUCCAACCCCACCUCCACACACUGGGCUAGGACUUCACUUCAUGUGUCCAGCGACAUCCCAGAAGUCCUUUCCAGGCCCGCGUGGCACCACUUGCACCUACAGGCUGUGCCACGUCUGGGAUUCCACCAGGUACCAGCCGUGGGCACCUGGGCACAUCUGCAACCUCUCCGAUCCUCAGGCCUUUUGUCUGAAAGACAGGAACAACUCGUAGGCUACUGAGAGAAUCAAAUGAGGCCACGAAGGUUUUCCACUUACUUUUAUGUUUUGUUUUGUUUUGUUUUUUUUAAGGAAUCUCUGUGCCUGAUGUGGGGGCUGAGCUCACGACUCUGAGAUCAGGAGUAGCAUGUUCUACCAACUGAGCCUGCCAGGUGCCCCACCACUUACUUUUCAACAAAUUUUUAGAAGUUUUAGAUUUUAGGGGCGCCUGGGUGGCUCAGUCAGUUAAGCGUCCGACUUCGGCUCAGGUCACAAUCUCGAGGUCUGUGAGUUUGAGCCCCACAUCGGGCUCUGGGCUGAUGGCUCAGACCCUGGAGCCUGCUUCCAAUUCUGUGUCUCCCUCUCUCUCUGCCCCUCCCCCAUUCAUGCUCUGUCUCUCUCUGUCUCAAAAAUAAUAAAAUAAACAUUAAAAAAAUUAAAAAAAAAAAG